This 292-nucleotide ribosomal RNA is filed under the name uncultured bacterium. Its description in RNAcentral is "partial 16S ribosomal RNA". It matches the Rfam family "Bacterial small subunit ribosomal RNA", at positions 505 to 796 of the family's 1533-position model. The record is from RNAcentral.
GUGUCAGCCGCCGCGGUAAGACGAGGGAUCCAAGCGUUGUUCGGAAUUAUUGGGCGUAAAGCGGGUGUAGGUGGCUAUGUAAGUCAGGUGUGAAAGCCCAGGGCUCAACCCUGGAAGUGCAUUUGAUACUGCGUAGCUUGAGUGUGGGAGAGGAUAGUAGAAUUCCUGGUGUAGUGGUGAAAUACGUAGAUAUCAGGAGGAAUACCGGAGGCGAAGGCGGCUAUCUGGCCCAACACUUACACUCAGACCCGAAAGCGUGGGGAUCAAACAGGAUUAGAAACCCUGGUAGUCC